This 1206-nucleotide long non-coding RNA is filed under the name Salmo salar (Atlantic salmon). RNAcentral describes it as "lncRNA (ENSSSAG00000086104.1)". Lineage: Eukaryota; Metazoa; Chordata; Actinopteri; Salmoniformes; Salmonidae. The record is from RNAcentral.
GGCGCGGAGAUGGGAUUAGAGGAGGAGGCGAGGAGAUGGGAUUAGAGGAGGAGGCGAGGAGAUGGGAUUAGAGGCGCGGAGAUGGGAUUAGAGGAGGCGAGGCGAUGGGAUUAGAGGAGGAGGAGGCACAGAGAUGGGAUUAGAGAAGGAGGCGAGGAGAUGGGAUUAGAGGAGGAGGAGGCGCGAAAAUGGGAUUAGAGGAGGAGGAGGCGCGGAGAUGGGAUUAGAGAAGGAGGCGAGGAGAUGGGAUUAGAGGAGGCGAGGAGAUGGGAUUAGAGAAGGAGGCGAGGAGAUGGGAUUAGAGAAGGAGGCGAGGAGAUGGGACUAGAGGAGGCGAGGAGAUGGGAUUAGAGAAGGAGGCGAGGAGAUGGGAUUAGAGAAGGAGGCGAGGAGAUGGGAUUAGAGAAGGAGGCGAGGAGAUGGGACUAGAGGAGGCGAGGAGAUGGGACUAGAGGAGGCGAGGAGAUGGGAUUAGAGGAGGCGAGGAGAUGGGACUAGAGGAGGCGAGGAGAUGGGAUUAGAGGAGGCAAGGAGAUGGGAUUAGAGGAGGCAAGGAGAUGGGAGAACUGACAGAAAGGUGAAAUGACAACCAUUAGAGCUCCAAGGUGAAUCUGGUUGAGGAGCCUAGGUAUGACAUGGUCACAAAAAUGUAUAGAAAAAUAACCUAUAUCUUGGUCCCGUGUUCCAACAAGCAAAUCUCUUCUACAUCAAUAAGUAAAACAUUUGCACUUUAAAAGGUCCAGUAUAGCCAAAAAUGUGGUUUUUCCUGUGUUUUAUUAAAUUCCCACACUAUGAGCUUGAAAUAAUAUUAUGACAAUGCCCUUUUAGUAUUAGAGCUGUUUGAAAUGACAGCCUGAUGUGGUGGGAAGGAGUUUGUCUUCCACGGUGACAUCACCAGGCAGUAAAUCUGGUAAUAGAUCAAUAAGAAAGAGUUGUAAACCGCUCUGCCAACAGUUCAUUCUCAGUAUUCCUCUCCCUAGACAGCCCAAUUCAAAUCCUUGCUUUGCGAGGAAGCUAUUUUUUUUACCAUUUUAAUUUAAAGCAAUGACAGUAAGGUACUUAAAAGGGAAACUCCACCCCAAAAAUAUUUUGGUAUUUCUUUCAUUAGUCUAUUGUUGAUUUAGUCCCAAAAUGUUUUGCAUGUCAGCAAUCAAGUUUAAAAUAUAACUUUCAAAAUAUAGAAAUACAGCCGGUAUUAUGCAUUUA